This 252-nucleotide ribosomal RNA is filed under the name uncultured bacterium. Its description in RNAcentral is "partial 16S ribosomal RNA". It matches the Rfam family "Bacterial small subunit ribosomal RNA", at positions 524 to 773 of the family's 1533-position model. The record is from RNAcentral.
UACAGAGGGUGCAAGCGUUAAUCGGAAUUACUGGGCGUAAAGCGCACGUAGGCGGUUCGUUAAGUCGGAUGUGAAAUCCCUGGGCUCAACCUGGGAGCUGCAUUCGAUACUGGCGAACUUGAGUAUGAUAGAGGGGGGUGGAAUUCCAGGUGUAGCGGUGAAAUGCGUAGAUAUCUGGAGGAACAUCAGUGGCGAAGGCGGCCCCUCGGAUCAAUACUGACGCUGAGGUGCGAAAGACGUGGGGAGGCAAAC